UCCACGCAGGUGUGCUGGCCAUUGCCUUCAUCAGUGGAGAAACCUGCAGAGUUUUUCUGCAGAGCGGGUCUCCGUGAACCACACUCUCUCCCACUGCGUGUCUGCUAAUAGUUAGCAGCUAGUCUCUGCGUUUCUUCCUGGUUCGUAGCCGGCUGUAUUAACCUCUCAAUUUGGCCGGUGGGGUGGGGGUGAAACUGAAGCAGAACCUUCCUGCAGUGUCCCAAGAACCCAAGGAAGCUGUCAUUCACCCCACUCUUAGGGAAGGGCAUCAGGGACUUUUCCAAUGAGUCGACUGUUCGCAUCAGACGACCAAAAUAGUGGAACUUCAGCUUCAGCAUCAGUCCUUCCAAUACUGUAUUUUUUACAUAUUGAAGGUUUGUGGCAACCCUGCAUGGAGCAAGUCUAUUGGCAUCCUUUUUCCAACAGCAUUAUUUUUUUUUAACAGCAUUAUUUUUAAUGAAGAAUAAUGAUGAAGGAUCAAGGUAAAUGGAUGAAGAUACUGAAGUUCACUGGGAUGAAGGGGGGCAGUUUAAACUCAAAAGAUGAUCUUGGAAGAAUUCUUUCUUUAAUUUGUUUAUUUAUAUAUUUCGACUAUUCUGGGUCUUCAUUGCUACACACAGGCUUUCUCUAGUUGCAGCAAGCAGAGGCUACUCUUGUUUGCCAUGUGCAGGCUUCUCAUUGCAGUGGCUUCUCUUCUUAUGGAGCACAUCAGCUUCAGUAGUUGUGGCAUGCAGGCUUAGUUGCUCUACAGCAUUGAACUUAUGUCUCUGCAAUGGCCGGUGGGUUCUUAACCACUGGACCCCCAGAGAAGUCCUUGGAAGAGAAUUCUGCUUUCAAACCCAGAAGUUUAAUUAGUGAUGAUAUCUAAGAGCAAAAUUGGGUUAUGAUGUUAAACAGUUAACAAUCGAGUGAGA
Dama dama (fallow deer) is the source of this 914-nucleotide long non-coding RNA. RefSeq lists it as uncharacterized. The transcript is spliced from 4 exons. Lineage: Eukaryota; Metazoa; Chordata; Mammalia; Artiodactyla; Cervidae. The record is from RefSeq and is a predicted model, not a curated record.